UACGUAGGGGGCAAGCGUUGUCCGGAAUUAUUGGGCGUAAAGAGCUCGUAGGCGGUUCAGUAAGUCGGGUGUGAAAACUCUGGGCUUAACCCAGAGACGCCACCCGAUACUGCUGUGACUUGAGUACGGUAGGGGAGCAGGGAAUUCCUGGUGUAGCGGUGAAAUGCGCAGAUAUCAGGAGGAACACCGGUGGCGAAGGCGCUGCUCUGGGCCGAAACUGACGCUGAGGAGCGAAAGCGUGGGUAGCAAACAGG
RNAcentral lists this ribosomal RNA (254 nucleotides) under uncultured bacterium. RNAcentral's name for it is "partial 16S ribosomal RNA". It matches the Rfam family "Bacterial small subunit ribosomal RNA", at positions 524 to 776 of the family's 1533-position model. The record is from RNAcentral.